Molecule: transfer RNA, 72 nt
Filed under: Salmo salar (Atlantic salmon)
Lineage: Eukaryota; Metazoa; Chordata; Actinopteri; Salmoniformes; Salmonidae
Also listed under: 1 other name
Rfam family: tRNA
About the family: Transfer RNA (tRNA) molecules are approximately 80 nucleotides in length. Their secondary structure includes four short double-helical elements and three loops (D, anti-codon, and T loops). Further hydrogen bonds mediate the characteristic L-shaped molecular structure. tRNAs have two regions of fundamental functional importance: the anti-codon, which is responsible for specific mRNA codon recognition, and the 3' end, to which the tRNAs corresponding amino acid is attached (by aminoacyl-tRNA synthetases). tRNAs cope with the degeneracy of the genetic code in two manners: having more than one tRNA (with a specific anti-codon) for a particular amino acid; and 'wobble' base-pairing, i.e. permitting non-standard base-pairing at the 3rd anti-codon position.
Source: Rfam by way of RNAcentral
UCCCGCGUGGCUCAGUUGGUAGAGCAUGGUGUUUGCAACGCCAGGGUUGUGGGUUUGAUUCCCACGGGGGAC